UUAAUUGAAGCCAAAAAUUAGGCUUUUCAUUGUUAAUGAAAUUAUUGAUUAAAUUAUUAAUCCAAUUAAA
Molecule: transfer RNA, 70 nt
Filed under: Picromerus griseus
Lineage: Eukaryota; Metazoa; Arthropoda; Insecta; Hemiptera; Pentatomidae
Description: tRNA-Asn
Source: RNAcentral